This 452-nucleotide unclassified non-coding RNA is filed under the name Hyptis penaeoides. Its description in RNAcentral is "partial external transcribed spacer". Lineage: Eukaryota; Viridiplantae; Streptophyta; Magnoliopsida; Lamiales; Lamiaceae. The record is from RNAcentral.
CNCNUGAGNGGUGGUUGGUGUGUGUGGGCAUNUCGGAUCCCUGCUCCGGGCAGNGACGGCAUCUCCAAUACGCCUCUUCAUUCGUGGGAANGAGCUAUUACUCGUCCGCGGUCGGCUUUCCUGUGUUGCAUACCUAUUGCGAGGGCAUUCGGUUGGCUAAAANGGUCCCAUCUCCNCCUUGUGUCGGCGCUCCGUGCGGGCGUACGGUGCGGGGUGGAUCUCACGGCGUCCGUUGUGUUUCGCGCCGCAUUCACCUAACUUGGUGUUUGGGUAGGCGACCCAUGACGUGAUGCGCGUUGUCUCGGGUACGGAACAUCGGGUGGGUUCGAGGCAUUGUCCUUCGAUCGCCACACAAAUGCGUUCUACGCUUUAUGCGAACGACGGCCGCACACGAGCUUUCGGCGGAGCACUCGCUGCUCGGUCGAAACCGUGUCGGCGUCGGUGAGGGAUGC